RNAcentral lists this ribosomal RNA (236 nucleotides) under uncultured Glomus. RNAcentral's name for it is "partial 25S ribosomal RNA". It matches the Rfam family "Eukaryotic large subunit ribosomal RNA", at positions 333 to 573 of the family's 3401-position model. The record is from RNAcentral. Lineage: Eukaryota; Fungi; Glomeromycota; Glomeromycetes; Glomerales; Glomeraceae.
ACCGAUAGCGAACAAGUACCGUGAGGGAAAGAUGAAAAGAACUUUGAAAAGAGAGUUAAACAGUACGUGAAAUUGUUGAAAGGGAAACGAUUGAAGUCAGUCGUGCUGGCGCGAAAUCAACCCUCUCGUCGGGAGACCCAUGUUGUGGCGAGCUCAAAACCGCCACAGCAUGUGUCUCACGAUGAGGGGGAGCACUUUCGUGUCCGCUGGUUAACAUCAAUUUCGAACGUCAUAAA